UAGGGAAUAUUAGAAAUGGACGAAAGUCUGAUCUAGCAACACCGCGUGUGCGAAGAAGGCCUUCGGGUCGUAAAGCACUUUUUGGAAGGAAUAGGAAGGAAUGUACUUCCAGAAUAAGUCUCGGCUAACUACGUGCCAGCAGCCGCGGUAACACGUAGGAGGCAAACGUUAUCCGGAUUUACUGGGCGUAAAGCGCGUGUAGGUGGUACUGUAAGUAGGGCGUGAAAGCUCCUGGCUCAACUGGGAGAGGCCGUUCUAAACUACAGAGCUAGAGGAUGGUAGAGGGAGGCGGAAUUCCAGGUGUAGCGGUGGAAUGCGCAGAUAUCUGGAGGAACACCGGAGGCGAAGGCGGCCUCCUGGACCAUUCCUGACACUCAGACGCGAAAGCUAGGGUAGCAAACGG
Molecule: ribosomal RNA, 403 nt
Filed under: uncultured bacterium
Lineage: Bacteria
Description: bacterial SSU rRNA
Rfam family: Bacterial small subunit ribosomal RNA
Source: RNAcentral